CAUUACGAAGCAAGAUGAUCAUAAUAUGUGAUUUUUAGCUUGUGUAUAUCAGUUUGUGGUGCAUCGGAAACUGUAUUUUUACACAAAACGAAUGCAAACUAGAGCACAUUCCACGGAAUCUAGAUGAUUAUGUUGAAUUUGGCACAAUAAGGGUGGAGGUGUAAGAAAAAAUCAUAGUUGAGGGGGGUAGAUGUAAUUAUCCAAACAAGAGGGGGGUUUUUGUAAUUUGACCAUACCUCA
RNAcentral lists this long non-coding RNA (240 nucleotides) under Erythranthe guttata (spotted monkey flower). RNAcentral describes it as "long non-coding RNA (EGUT_LNC002045)". Lineage: Eukaryota; Viridiplantae; Streptophyta; Magnoliopsida; Lamiales; Phrymaceae. The record is from RNAcentral.